CAGCAGCCACGGGAAUACGUAGGUGGCAAGCGUUGUCCGGAAUUAUUGGGCGUAAAGGGCUCGCAGGCGGUUUCUUAAGUCUGAUGUGAAAGCCCCCGGCUCAACCGGGGGGGGUCAUUGGAGACUGGGAAACUUGAGUGCAGAAGAGGAGAGUGGAAUUCCACGUGUAGCGGUGAAAUGCGUAGAGAUGUGGAGGAACACCAGUGGCGAAGGCGACUCUCUGGUCUGUAACUGACGCUGAGGAGCGAAAGCGUGGGGAGCGAACAGGAUUAGAUACCCGAGUAGUCCCUGUCUCUUAUAC
This 301-nucleotide ribosomal RNA is filed under the name uncultured bacterium. Its description in RNAcentral is "partial 16S ribosomal RNA". It matches the Rfam family "Bacterial small subunit ribosomal RNA", at positions 509 to 807 of the family's 1533-position model. The record is from RNAcentral.